GUGUCAGCAGCCGCGGUAAUACGAAGGUCCCAAGCGUUGUUCGGAAUCACUGGGCGUAAAGAGUGCGUAGGCGGCGCGGAAAGUCAGAUGUGAAAUCCCGGGGCUCAACCUCGGAACGGCAUCCGAUACUCCCGCGCUUGAGGACUGGAGGGGAGUCUGGAAUUCACGGUGUAGCAGUGAAAUGCGUAGAUAUCGUGAGGAACACUAGUGGCGAAGGCGAGACUCUGGACAGUUCCUGACGCUGAGGCACGAAGGCCAGGGGAGCGAAGGGGAUUAGAAACCCGCGUAGUCC
This 292-nucleotide ribosomal RNA is filed under the name uncultured bacterium. Its description in RNAcentral is "partial 16S ribosomal RNA". It matches the Rfam family "Bacterial small subunit ribosomal RNA", at positions 505 to 796 of the family's 1533-position model. The record is from RNAcentral.